RNAcentral lists this small RNA (289 nucleotides) under Drepanopeziza brunnea f. sp. 'multigermtubi' MB_m1. Its description in RNAcentral is "Marssonina brunnea f. sp. 'multigermtubi' MB_m1 A. fumigatus sRNA Afu_309". It matches the Rfam family "A. fumigatus sRNA Afu_309". Lineage: Eukaryota; Fungi; Ascomycota; Leotiomycetes; Helotiales; Drepanopezizaceae. The record is from Rfam by way of RNAcentral.
UUCUUUUCCACAACCACAGAUCUGUGUCCAGCGGCCCCUUCAGUCUUCGGGCUGUAAGGUCGACUGCUGCGGCAGUUCGUUCGUUCCAAGGAGCCACCUGCCUUCACCGGUUUCUAUGGUGUCAAUUUCCGAUCGACAGGUCUCAGAGUGAUUGGGCCACCACGAAACCUGAAUUCGCUGUCACAGGUUUGAGUUCGGUGGACGGUGGUGCUGAGGACGUCACAUUCCAAUUCCUUUCGCCGAGCCCGUUGGGCUGUGAGGUUUAGGACUAACCGUUUCGACUACAUAC